Molecule: small nuclear RNA, 108 nt
Filed under: Neogale vison (American mink)
Lineage: Eukaryota; Metazoa; Chordata; Mammalia; Carnivora; Mustelidae
Source: RNAcentral
AUGCUCACUUCAGCAGUACAUACACUAAAAUGGGAAUGGUAGAGAAAAGAGUUGUAGCGUCCCUGAGCAGGGAUGACAGGCCAAAUUUGUGAAGGCUUGCAUAUUUUC